Nerophis ophidion (straightnose pipefish) is the source of this 488-nucleotide long non-coding RNA. RefSeq lists it as uncharacterized. The transcript is spliced from 6 exons. NCBI's taxonomy places the organism in Eukaryota, Metazoa, Chordata, Actinopteri, Syngnathiformes, Syngnathidae. The record is from RefSeq and is a predicted model, not a curated record.
CGCUGCCUUUUAUUUCCACGUCACGUGAUUUCCGGUCUCUCUCUCCGCGACAGAAACAUGACUCGGCAACGAAACUUCUGGCUCAAGCGUUUGAGAUGCAGAGUCUCCUGCAAAAAACAAGCGGCAGACCUGGGAUGAGACGGCAUACCCUGCAUUUAGAUGAAAGCCAAUAAGGGGGAGCAGUGAGCAGCAGCGGUGUGGCCGUGCCCGGAAAUCAUUCUUGAUGAUUUAACCCCCAAUUCCAAUCCUUGAUGCUGAGUGCUAAGCGGUGAGGAUGGCUUUGGAGUCUAUGGUGAAUCUCUUAUUGUCAUCCCCCAGUGGUAAUUGAUGCACAUGCAAGCGGACGAUGCACACGAAGCAGUGGAUACCACACAUCUGGACGUUCAGUUUCAUGUGGAGACUGGUGCCUUCCUGUGGAUGUGACUGAAACUCUAAAAGUAACGUGACUGCAAUGGAUUUUAAAUUGAAUAAAAGAACCUACAUAAUCA